This 795-nucleotide ribosomal RNA is filed under the name Triticum aestivum (bread wheat). RNAcentral describes it as "partial small subunit ribosomal RNA". The record is from RNAcentral. Lineage: Eukaryota; Viridiplantae; Streptophyta; Magnoliopsida; Poales; Poaceae.
AUGGUUGAAGAAACAAAGAAGAAGUAUAGUAGAGAUUACUUGACAUGGACAGAUGAGAUGGAUAAGGUAUUGUUGGAUGUCUUUGUUGAACAUCACAACAGAGGUGAUCAAGGCCAAAAUGGAUGGAAGCCACAUGUCUACACUGCUGCUAUAAAGGCAAUACGUGAUAAGUGUGGGUUGCACGUCACAAAGGAAAAUAUGUCAAGGAUGAAGACUUUUGACAAGCAUUAUGCUACAAUUAGCAAGAUUCUUUCUCAAAGUGGAUUUGGUUGGGAUUGGGUCAAUAACAAGCUACUCAUGGACAGUGAUGAUGUGUGGAACAAAUAUGUGCAGGCUAAUCCGAAGGCAGCUUGUUACAAGAACAAAGAAGUGAAGAAUUGGGAGGCAAUUUGCACAAUAUACUCCAAAGAUCAUCCAACCGGUGAAGGUGCAAUGACAGGUGCUGAAACUGAAGCGCAACCACCAGAACCCGAUGUAGUAGCCAUCAAAGACUCAUCCAAAAUGCCACAAAAAAGGCAGCGAACAUGUGAUGCUAUCUUGUGCAUGCUUGGAGACAUGAAAUGUUCUUUUCAAGAUGCUUUGAAAUCACUUGAGCCACUUGAACUGCCCAAGGUUACCCCUCCUCUUGAAAUCCUUGCUGCCCUUGAAAAGAUCCCAGAGUUGGCUCGUUCUGACAUGUUGCGAGCAUAUGGUAAACUCAUCCUUAGUGAACGCUUAUUUCACGCGCUUAUGGAGUUGCCCAUGGACUUUAGGAAGGAAUGGUUGCUGACGCUCAAUGAGAAGAACAACAUUUGA